Long non-coding RNA from Sardina pilchardus (European sardine), 279 nucleotides. RefSeq lists it as uncharacterized. The record is from RefSeq and is a predicted model, not a curated record. The transcript has 3 exons. Lineage: Eukaryota; Metazoa; Chordata; Actinopteri; Clupeiformes; Clupeidae.
AGAAACAUAAUCAAGCAAACUCAUCCAAGCAGAUGCGAAUAGCCUACAAUGUCAGUACUCAAACCACCAGUAGCAGGCUUAGGACUAGAGUUUGCCAGUCAGACCACUACACCUUUGCCAGCACCACCACCCAGCAAGCUUCAUCAACUCCAGCCAUGCCGAGUUUACCAAUCAGACCUACACCUCUGUCAAAUUCGCUCACAACGCUGCCAGUAACACCCCAGCAAGGUAGAACUGCAUUUUCAUUAAUCUGGCACCAAUGUCAAGGGAGAAACAAGC